CAGCAGCCGCGGGAAUACGAAGGGUGCAAGCGUUAAUCGGAAUUACUGGGCGUAAAGCGCGCGUAGGUGGUUUGGUAAGAUGGAUGUGAAAUCCCCGGGCUCAACCUGGGAACUGCAUCCAUAACUGCCUGACUAGAGUACGGUAGAGGGUGGUGGAAUUUCCUGUGUAGCGGUGAAAUGCGUAGAUAUAGGAAGGAACACCAGUGGCGAAGGCGACCACCUGGACUGAUACUGACACUGAGGUGCGAAAGCGUGGGGAGCAAACAGGAUUAGAUAUCCGAGUAGUCCCUGUCUCUUAUAC
Molecule: ribosomal RNA, 301 nt
Filed under: uncultured bacterium
Lineage: Bacteria
Description: partial 16S ribosomal RNA
Rfam family: Bacterial small subunit ribosomal RNA
Source: RNAcentral